This is a long non-coding RNA of Ictalurus punctatus (channel catfish), 621 nucleotides long. The record is from Ensembl. NCBI's taxonomy places the organism in Eukaryota, Metazoa, Chordata, Actinopteri, Siluriformes, Ictaluridae.
AGGUCGUUGAGCGAAACCUCCAGCUGCUGCCCACCGAACCCCACGAUGAACCUUCAGCUGUCGUUCUGCCUCUCAGUGCUGGUGAGCUGAGCAGCGCCUGGUACAAUAUUCAGUUCCUCUCUUCAGACUCCUUCAUCUCACAGUCUGGGUCAGUGGACAUUAGGAGAUACUUCCUCGACAUUAUAAGGGGUCCAGAGCAUCGGUUCUGCUGGUUUAAAACCACCCAAACCUGCUACUCUGAUCAGGGGGGAUUCUCUUAUCAUGUCAACACAGAGCAUUGUUUCACUAGCAUACAGUGUGUAUCUGGGAGGGUUACAGAAUUCAUUUCCUGUAACCGCAUGGAGACUGUGUCGAGGAAAACAAUCUUUCCAGCCUAAGUCAAAAAAAAAACUUCAGAGACAGAGAUGUCAAAAAACAACCCUUGAAAAAGGUGACCUGCACGUACCUGUUUGGGGGAGCAGAUGAUCAGGUGGACACCUCCACUUGGGUUCAGGAUCACGAAGAUAACUCUCCCUACAGCGAUUCAGAGAGUGAACCAGACUCUGAGGAGAAAGAGGAGACCCUUAAGUUUUUGGAGUUUAGAGGUGCCCUUUAUUAGCUACCAUCUAUCAGAGAGAGGGG